This is a non-coding RNA of Camelina sativa (false flax), 318 nucleotides long. The record is from RefSeq and is a predicted model, not a curated record. NCBI's taxonomy places the organism in Eukaryota, Viridiplantae, Streptophyta, Magnoliopsida, Brassicales, Brassicaceae.
ACUGUUACAUCUUUGCAUGCCCCUUUGGUCAUUUUAUUGUUGGUUCAGGUAAUAUAUUGUUUAUAUGUUUGCUGGCCUAACAAAUCUUUGGUCAUUUUAUUGAUCCAUUCCAUUCACUCACAUACUUUUGGUUUUUCUUUGGGUCAGAUGAUUUUACAUAAGUUUGUGUGAGUUACCAUUUGUUUGAGACAUUUUGCAGGUUAGAGGAUCCAUGCCUUUUAUGUGGGAGCAAAUUGUUGAUCUGACCUACAAGCCCAAGUUUGAGAUUGCCCAACCUGAAGAAGCUGCGAGGAUAGCUGAGCGUCACUUUUUGGACCU